CUUUCUUUCAUACUCUGUAGUCGAGAGCCAUCACGGCUGGGGAAUCCCGGUGUUCACUCACCGCUGUCUCUUUUCCCCUUGGGAGGGAUUCUCAGCCUCCUUCUUAUCUAAGCUGUGCCACCUUGAGGGAGGGGUGAUGCUUGUAAAAUUCCUCUUACCCGUUUCAGUGGGUUUUUUUUGUUGUUGUUUGUUUUUUUGCUCCUACGGAGUUCUAGAACUUCUUUAGAAACCUGAACAUCUAUAAAGGCUCUCUUGUCCAGAUGUAUCUGUGCAAGCCAGCAUUUUGCAGAGGUUGGAGCCUGUUCCACAGUUUUAUUGGGGUAUAUCUGCCUGUUACCCAAUGCAGAGGUACUCUUCCUGAGUACCUUGGUGUGUGGUGAUGCGUACCACAGCUCCCACAGAGGCACUUUUGCUCACGGAUAGAUGCCAAAUUUUAGAAGUUAAAGAGGGGACAGAGAUCACGGGUGUCUUAUGGAACCAAAAUAUUACUCUGGCAGGCUCAGAAGAAGUGGAGUUUUAGGAAGAAUAAUUCCUUGGGCUUUGAAGAAGUCUGAGUAGAAAUUCUGAAAUCUGUCCCAGGGAACAGCCAUGUUGGUGCUCCUUCUGCUGCUGUUUUUUUUGUUUACCCCACAGGUAAUUCUGAUACACUGCUUUGUAAGCUGGGCCUGUGUUGUAAAAUAAACAUUUUUAAAAUUAUAUUUACCCUUCAGCAAGUGUAGAUGGAUGGGUAAAAAUUCUCUUUCAAAAGUUACUAUGGUCAUAGCCAAGCAAAAAUACAGAUUUCAGCCUCAAUCUUUUUCUCUUGAUGGGUUAGUGCUUUAAUUUGUUUAGCAGUGUCUCCAGCAGUUUCUAAAGUGCCUUUUUCAGGGACUUCCCUCGUGGUGCAGUGGUUAAGAAUCUG
Molecule: long non-coding RNA, 901 nt
Organism: Aethalodelphis obliquidens (Pacific white-sided dolphin)
Lineage: Eukaryota; Metazoa; Chordata; Mammalia; Artiodactyla; Delphinidae
Exons: 3
Source: RefSeq, a predicted model, not a curated record